Molecule: non-coding RNA, 73 nt
Organism: Meriones unguiculatus (Mongolian gerbil)
Lineage: Eukaryota; Metazoa; Chordata; Mammalia; Rodentia; Muridae
Source: the annotation of a RefSeq genome assembly
AGGGAUGUAGCUCAGUGGUAGAGUGCAUGCUUAGCAUGCGUUGAGGUCCUGGGUUCGAUCCCCAGCAUCUCCA